CACCACGCGCGUCUUGGCGCCAAACUUCCCUCCUCCGCCGCGCGGUUUCGUAUCCUGCGUCGCAUCUCCGACGAGUACUCACUUUGGGAUCGACGACAACCUCAGCCGAGCCCCUCAACCUCUGUCCAAUCUCGACUCUUCAAAAAUUUAAAGUAUCUUCGCAUCGCAAUCUCUCAUUUCUGUUUUCUCCUCCUCCGCCGUGACCACCGGUUUCUCUACCGCCGGC
This 226-nucleotide long non-coding RNA is filed under the name Linum usitatissimum (flax). RNAcentral describes it as "long non-coding RNA (LUSI_LNC006786)". Lineage: Eukaryota; Viridiplantae; Streptophyta; Magnoliopsida; Malpighiales; Linaceae. The record is from RNAcentral.